CAAGAGCGUAUAUUAAAGUUGUUGCGGUUAAAAAGCCCCUACUUGGAUGUCUGCUGAGGACGACGGGUCCGCCCUCUGGGUGAGUAUCUGGCUCGGCCUGGGCGUCUUCUUGGAGAACGUAGCUGCGGCAUGGAAUAAUAAGAUAUGACAUCGGUUCUACUUUGCUUGUUUCUAGUGACGGUGCAAUGAUUAAUAGGGGUAAUUGGGGGCAUUCGUACUUACUUGUCAGAUGUAGAGUUCUUGGAUUCGUUAACGACGGACUACCGCGAAAGCAGUUGCCAAGGAUGUUUNCAUUGA
Molecule: ribosomal RNA, 297 nt
Filed under: uncultured eukaryote
Lineage: Eukaryota
Description: partial 18S ribosomal RNA
Rfam family: Eukaryotic small subunit ribosomal RNA
Source: RNAcentral